RNAcentral lists this non-coding RNA (76 nucleotides) under human gut metagenome. RNAcentral's name for it is "ZMP/ZTP riboswitch". It matches the Rfam family "ZMP/ZTP riboswitch aptamer (pfl RNA motif)". From Rfam's summary of the family: Previously known as pfl RNA. ZMP is also known as AICAR. The record is from RNAcentral.
ACCGUGCGACUGGCGGAGAGUAGGAGUACCUACGGGGAGCGCGGGAUAACAUAUGAGCCGACCGCCUGGGCAGCCU